Long non-coding RNA from Triticum dicoccoides, 559 nucleotides. RefSeq lists it as uncharacterized. The transcript is spliced from 2 exons. The record is from RefSeq and is a predicted model, not a curated record. NCBI's taxonomy places the organism in Eukaryota, Viridiplantae, Streptophyta, Magnoliopsida, Poales, Poaceae.
ACGGAAUUCUACACCACAUCCCUUUCUCUCUCGAUCGUGAAAGCAAUCGCUGAAAUUAUUGGGUACUAGUAAGAGUGCUUGUGUCACCUACACAUUCCAUUGGGUGGUGUACUAAAUAAAAUAAUUUUCUGCAAAUUUUCUGGCAAAUUCCAUUUGGUAGUGAGUAAUUAUGGGUGAGCAGGUCAGGUCAUCUUGAAGCCGUCUCAAUGCUGCUCCUCUUUGUGGUUGAAGCUGUCUGCGCUGAAGCUCAAUUGUUUUCCGGCCCCAUGUAUGCAUUAUUUGGAAGCACAUUCAAUCGCCGCAACGAUCACAAACCCCAUGCCUUCCUUAAUGGUGGUAGGUUCUGAAGACAUCAAAAGAGGCAAGAUCAAGUCAAUGAUGUCCUUCUUGUGGCUGAAAUUACUUUGAUCCUGCUGUCUCUCUGGUGUGGUGUCCGCGCAGUUCCAGUCGAGCCAAACAGAACCAUUAUAUUUAGCCAAACAGAACCAUUACAAAUAUUGUCAGAAAGUAUUUGGAGUCAGCUUCUAUUGCUACUCCAGUAUAUAUCCUUCUUUCUCUG